GGGAAGCUCGUGAAAGAAGUCAGGCUCCGCAACCCGUACUUUCGUUUUCUUCUGGCAUUCUCCAGAUCUGUUACCCGCCAGGAGUGAGAAGUUCCGCUUGAUGGUAAGAAAGAAGCUAAAGAAGAUUACUCUACUGAUAUUGCUAAUAAAAGUACACCUAAAUCAAGAAAGUGUGAUGGAAGUUAUGUAUUUUUUAUUUCAGGUUUGCUAAUGGGCUGCAGAUUUCCAGAUUAGGUAGAAGAUAUAUUCACAAUGGAAAUCAGUGAAAGUCACUGCUUAAAGACCAAAGAACAAUUAAAGUGAUAUUAAGUGGAUGGAUAGUAUCCAACAUGCCUCAACAACACUGUGGAGCAUCAUCAAGGAAAUAAGCAAAGCCAUGAUCUACACAUUUUCCCAAGAAGAUUCAUCUGCAGCUAGUUUUAUUACAUCUCAGAAAUAACCACCUUGCUUGCAAGCUUGCCCUUCCCCUCCAAAUAUGAUUCAGUUGUUCUCUUUUUGCAUUGGUAAUCUCACUGACAUGUUUCAAAGGGAGCCACUAGGCAAAGCUUGUGCAGCGACCUGAUUGGGACCAGCUGAAAGCCACCUUGGACACAUUUUGGAGUAAUAGCAAGCCUUUUCCUGAUCUACCCAUCAGGUUUUAAUAAUAAUUUUUAAAAAUGCCCCAGACUGGCAAAUACAGAUGGUCUUUCUUGACUUUCCUCAUCAAUUCUGGCUCCAUAAACAAAACAGUUGUAGAGAAUUUAAAUAUAAAAGAAGUUCAAAUUAUUGGUGCAAUAAUUAAAUAAUCAUUUAAUCCCAUUGCAAUGUGUGGCCCAGUCUUCAUGCAAGGACAUCGGACAACAGCAAAGAUGCCCCACACUUUCACAGGUCACUCUCUUUUGUGUAUCAUCCACCUUUCCUUUACAAGAGAGAACAGUGGCUGACUGACACCAGACCUGUUUAUGAAACAAAAGGUUUGAUUGACUCUGCCUGAAAUGAAGUUGAUGGGAACCAGUUCUUUCUGUUAAGAUGUCUUCAUUUCUCAAAGAGAAAUGUGAAACAAAGGGCUGCCUUAUGACAACGCUGAACCAUGCUGGUUGCUUUGACUUUGACUUAGCAUUCAUUGUAUAAACUCAGUCAUUGUGGUUUGUAAACAACGAUUUCUAGCUUAAUAUAUUGUGUCAACAAUGGAUCAUACACAACAUAUUUUUUUUUGCUUUAAAUCCAGAUUAAAACAAUCCCAUCUGUAAUAUUAUACUAAAUGUUUUUUUUUAAAUUUUAGACUGGAAAUCAACAAUUGGUGUUAAUUUUCUGAUUUGUGUAACUUUGGAAUAUACAUACAGUAUAAAACCUUUGUUUGGAUGGACAGUAUUAGGAUCUACAUAUACUAAAAUUCUCUAGAAACAAUUAUGUCAGUUACAAAGUUAUGGAAUGUAAUGUCUAAUAAAUUUAUUGGGAAAAAGGGAAUACAUGGGAAAAGGAAAAAAAGGGGGGGUCACAUGGUAAAUUGACUUUAUGGGGAAACCCAACUUUACAAAUCAGAAAAAUAUAAUGAUAUGGAAAAAUUGGAUGGAAGAAAGUGUUAUUGACAUUGGAUCAACUGAUAGAUAAUAAAAAUGAAUUUUUAGCAUUCUCUGUCUUAAGAGAAAAAUACCAUAUAUCAUACCUAACUCAAUGGCAAUAUUUACAGCUGCAACAUUUAUUAACAUUGUUUGGACCAGCAGCAUUUUCAGCUUCUGAGAUAACGUAAGAAUGUGUUAAAUCCUUUAAAACUAAAAAAGCCCCUAUACUGUUAGUUUUUAUAGAUAUUUGUUAUCAUAAAUCAAUUUGAUAUGCAGAUGAUAAGAAAUGAGUGGAAUUAAGAUUUAGAUGUUCCUAUAUUGCCUAGACAAUAAGAGAGUGCCUUAAGUUCUAUAGUAAGAAUGUCAGUGGACCUCGCUAUAAGAUUAUAACUUACACAACAAAAAAUAAUAUUUAGAAUUUAUGGGACUCUAUGUUUGUAUAGAAAUGGACUGUCCAAAGUAGCAUAUUAUUGGAGAUAUAAUAAGGAUAGUGCUUCUUUAAAAGAUAUGUUUUUACAGUGUCCUGUGCUAAGUUUCUGGAGAAAGUAGUGGAUUAUAUAAAUAUGAUUGUGUGAGAAAAACUAAAAUUUUCAGAAGAUAAUAUUUUCUUGAACUAUAUACUUAGUAUACGGAAUUUGAGAACCAGACAACCUAAACAUUCUCUGUGCCUUUACUAUGGCCAAAAGACUGAUAUUGAAAAGAUACAUGUAUGUCCCCUUUCACUCAAUGGAUUGAAGACCUGAUUGUACUUGCCAUCUAUGGUGGAUUGCGUGUAGAUACAUAGACUUCGUAUGGCUAAGUAUAAUGAAAUAUGGGACUCAUUUAUACAAAGUACAGUAGGUUAAAAAAAGAUAGUUGCAUAAAUGUGUUAGAAAUACUGUAUAUAUGUACUUGAAUAAUAUUUGAAUUAUGUAAGUAACAUACUAUUUCUCUUUGUGUAUUUCUUUUACUUUUUGUUAAAGCAGUUUCAUGUUAUUAAUUAAAAAGCAAUCCAAAUAAAGAAUAUGUAUUUUAGAAGUAUGUUUUAAAUUCACUUUGCUCUUUUCAGGGGAAAAGGGAAGAAGUACAAUGUUUUGAGUGCUCCAUCAAUAGGAAACAGUGAGCAAUCAAGCCCAACAGAGGCUGCCUUGUUUUUCAUUCUAGGACUAUAAGAGAAAUUACCAUUGGCAGUGUUACUCCAUGCUCUUUGUGUUACUUCUAUCCAAACUGCAGAAAAUGUAGUCAAGUAUAUAAUUUUAAAAACAUUAAAAUAAACAUCAUAGAGAAUAAAAUAUUCUCUGCUCUCACCAAAUGAAAAAAAUAUUUACUGUAUUUUAUUUAACAAGAGAACAGAGGCUUCUUCAAUUUAUCUGGGUACUUCCAGCAACAGAACAAUUAAACUUUUUAAAAUUGUUUGUGUUAUCCUAUUCCCCCAAUGAAGCAUUCUUGAAGUUUUUAUACUUUUUAAAAAGCAUAUUAUUAGUCAAUAAGAUUUUGGCACUGCUUUUGUUUGUUGGUUUUGCAAUCUGUCUGCUAGGCAGAAUUCAAGCAAUAGCAAUGUUAUUAUUUCAUGAUAUGUUGGCUGGCAUGUACGGUUGCUGCUAGCAUAAAAUUGAGAGCCAGUUUGGCCUAGUGGUUAAGCACCAGGCUAGAAGCAUGAGUUCUAGUCCUGCCUUAGGCACAAGUCAGCUGGCUGACCUUGGGCUAGUGCCUCUCUCUCAGCCCCAAGAAGCAGAA
This is a long non-coding RNA of Crotalus tigris (Tiger rattlesnake), 3257 nucleotides long. RefSeq lists it as uncharacterized. The transcript is spliced from 4 exons. Lineage: Eukaryota; Metazoa; Chordata; Lepidosauria; Squamata; Viperidae. The record is from RefSeq and is a predicted model, not a curated record.